UUUACUGAGAGUUUGAUCCUGGCUCAGGACGAACGCUGGCGGCGUGCCUAAUACAUGCAAGUCGUGCGGACCUUUUAAAAGCUUGCUUUUAAAAGGUUAGCGGCGGACGGGUGAGUAACACGUGGGCAACCUGCCUGUAAGAUCGGGAUAACGCCGGGAAACCGGGGCUAAUACCGGAUAGUUUUUUCCUCCGCAUGGAGGAAAAAGGAAAGACGGCUUUUGCUGUCACUUACAGAUGGGCCCGCGGCGCAUUAGCUAGUUGGUGGGGUAACGGCUCACCAAGGCAACGAUGCGUAGCCGACC
RNAcentral lists this ribosomal RNA (303 nucleotides) under Heyndrickxia coagulans. RNAcentral's name for it is "partial 16S ribosomal RNA". It matches the Rfam family "Bacterial small subunit ribosomal RNA", at positions 1 to 292 of the family's 1533-position model. The record is from RNAcentral. Lineage: Bacteria; Bacillati; Bacillota; Bacilli; Caryophanales; Bacillaceae.